AUGAACGCUGGCGGCGUGCCUCAUCCAUGCCAGUCGCGCGAACAGAUAAGGAGCUUGCUCCUUUGACGUUAGCGGCGGACGGGUGAGUAACACGUGGGUAACCUACCUAUAAGACUGGGAUAACUUCGGGAAACCGGAGCUAAUACCGGAUAAUAUUUCGAACCGCAUGGUUCGAUAGUGAAAGAUGGUUUUGCUAUCACUUAUAGAUGGACCCGCGCCGUAUUAGCUAGUUGGUAAGGUAACGGCUUACCAAGGCGACGAUACGUAGCCGACCUGAGAGGGUGAUCGGCCACACUGGAACUGAGACACGGUCCAGACUCCUACGGGAGGCAGCAGUAGGGAAUCUUCCGCAAUGGGCGAAAGCCUGACGGAGCAACGCCGCGUGAGUGAUGAAGGUCUUCGGAUCGUAAAACUCUGUUAUUAGGGAAGAACAUACGUGUAAGUAACUGUGCACGUCUUGACGGUACCUAAUCAGAAAGCCACGGCUAACUACGUG
Molecule: ribosomal RNA, 496 nt
Filed under: uncultured bacterium
Lineage: Bacteria
Description: partial 16S ribosomal RNA
Rfam family: Bacterial small subunit ribosomal RNA
Source: RNAcentral